This 490-nucleotide ribosomal RNA is filed under the name uncultured bacterium. Its description in RNAcentral is "partial 16S ribosomal RNA". It matches the Rfam family "Bacterial small subunit ribosomal RNA", at positions 30 to 507 of the family's 1533-position model. The record is from RNAcentral.
AUUGAACGCUGGCGGCAUGCCUAACACAUGCAAGUCGAACGGUAACAGGAAGAAGCUUGCUUCUUUGCUGACGAGUGGCGGACGGGUGAGUAAUGUCUGGGAAACUGCCUGAUGGAGGGGGAUAACUACUGGAAACGGUAGCUAAUACCGCAUAACGUCGCAAGACCAAAGAGGGGGACCUUCGGGCCUCUUGCCAUCGGAUGUGCCCAGAUUGGAUUAGCUAGUAGGUGGGGUAACGGCUCACCUAGGCCACGAUCCCUAGCUGGUCUGAGAGGAUGACCAGCCACACUGGAACUGAGACACGGUCCAGACUCCUACGGGAGGCAGCAGUGGGGAAUAUUGCACAAUGGGCGCAAGCCUGAUGCAGCAAUGCCGCGUGUAUGAAGAAGGCCUUCGGGUUGUAAAGUACUUUCAGCGGGGAGGAAGGGAGUAAAGUUAAUACCUGUGCUCAUUGACGUUACCCGCAGAAGAAGCCCCGGCUAACUCCGUG